Molecule: ribosomal RNA, 729 nt
Filed under: uncultured bacterium
Lineage: Bacteria
Description: bacterial SSU rRNA
Rfam family: Bacterial small subunit ribosomal RNA
Source: RNAcentral
AACAGGAUUAGAUACCCUGGUAGUCCACGCCCUAAACGAUGUCUACUAGUUGUCGGGUUUUAAUUAACUUGGUAACGCAGCUAACGCGUGAAGUAGACCGCCUGGGGAGUACGGUCGCAAGAUUAAAACUCAAAGGAAUUGACGGGGACCCGCACAAGCGGUGGAUGAUGUGGAUUAAUUCGAUGCAACGCGAAAAACCUUACCUACCCUUGACAUGUACGGAAGCCUUGAGAGAUCGAGGUGUGCUCGAAAGAGAGCCGUAACACAGGUGCUGCAUGGCUGUCGUCAGCUCGUGUCGUGAGAUGUUGGGUUAAGUCCCGCAACGAGCGCAACCCUUGUCAUUAGUUGCUACAUUUAGUUGAGCACUCUAAUGAGACUGCCGGUGACAAACCGGAGGAAGGUGGGGAUGACGUCAAGUCCUCAUGGCCCUUAUGGGUAGGGCUUCACACGUCAUACAAUGGUACAUACAGAGGGCCGCCAACCCGCGAGGGGGAGCUAAUCCCAGAAAGUGUAUCGUAGUCCGGAUCGCAGUCUGCAACUCGACUGCGUGAAGUUGGAAUCGCUAGUAAUCGCGGAUCAGCAUGUCGCGGUGAAUACGUUCCCGGGUCUUGUACACACCGCCCGUCACACCAUGGGAGCGGGUUUUACCAGAAGUAGGUAGCUUAACCGCAAGGAGGGCGCUUACCACGGUAGGAUUCGUGACUGGGGUGAAGUCGUAACAAGGUAACC